AUUGAACGCUGGCGGCAGGCCUAACACAUGCAAGUCGAACGGUAACAGGAAGCAGCUUGCUGCUUUGCUGACGAGUGGCGGACGGGUGAGUAUUGUCUGGGAAACUGCCCGAUGGAGGGGGAUAACUACUGGAAACGGUAGCUAAUACCGCAUAACGUCGCAAGACCAAAGAGGGGGACCUUAGGGCCUCUUGCCAUCGGAUGUGCCCAGAUGGGAUUAGCUAGUAGGUGGGGUAACGGCUCACCUAGGCGACGAUCCCUAGCUGGUCUGAGAGGAUGACCAGCCACACUGGAACUGAGACACGGUCCAGACUCCUACGGGAGGCAGCAGUGGGGAAUAUUGCACAAUGGGCGCAAGCCUGAUGCAGCCAUGCCGCGUGUAUGAAGAAGGCCUUCGGGUUGUAAAGUACUUUCAGCGGGGAGGAAGGGAGUAAAGUUAAUACCUUUGCUCAUUGACGUUACCCGCAGAAGAAGCACCGGCUAACUCCGUG
This 490-nucleotide ribosomal RNA is filed under the name uncultured bacterium. Its description in RNAcentral is "partial 16S ribosomal RNA". It matches the Rfam family "Bacterial small subunit ribosomal RNA", at positions 30 to 507 of the family's 1533-position model. The record is from RNAcentral.